RNAcentral lists this ribosomal RNA (253 nucleotides) under uncultured bacterium. Its description in RNAcentral is "partial 16S ribosomal RNA". It matches the Rfam family "Bacterial small subunit ribosomal RNA", at positions 524 to 776 of the family's 1533-position model. The record is from RNAcentral.
UACGUAGGGUGCAAGCGUUAAUCGGAAUUACUGGGCGUAAAGCGUGCGCAGGCGGUUUUGUAAGACUGUCGUGAAAUCCCCGGGCUUAACCUGGGAAUGGCAUUUGGGACUGCAAGGCUGGAGUACGGCAGAGGAGGCUGGAAUUCCUGGUGUAGCAGUGAAAUGCGUAGAUAUCAGGAGGAAUACCGAUGGCGAAGGCAGGUCUCUGGGCUGAUACUGACGCUCAUGCACGAAAGCGUGGGGAGCAAACAGG